RNAcentral lists this ribosomal RNA (332 nucleotides) under uncultured Glomeromycotina. RNAcentral's name for it is "eukaryotic LSU rRNA". The record is from RNAcentral. Lineage: Eukaryota; Fungi; Glomeromycota.
CAGUCGUACCGACGGAAAAUCAGCUCUUUGAGUGCGGACUUGUGGGCUUACGUGAGUUUAAACACCUCGCUGUUUGCAACGUUCGUGUUUUUGGGUGUACUUUUUCGUAUGGUAGGCCAAUGUCAGUUUCGAUCGCUAUAAAAUGACCGGCGGAAUGUAGCUUCGAUCUCGUAUUGAAGUGUUAUAGCCUCUGGUAGAUGUGGUGAUCGGGACUGAGGAUUGCAACGAAUACCUUUUUGGGCUAUCCGUCUGAUCUCUGAAGGUUGCUUAGGUGCCGAAAGCGUGCUUACGGUUAUUUAAGUUGACAGUCAAAAGGUUAGAACGUGAUUAUA